CUUGUACGCUAGACAAUCGCUGUUGGCCGCCUUCGCUCUUUGAGCAUGUGUUGGCCGAUAGAGGAAAGUCCGAGCACUAAUCCCUGAGCAUUGCGAGGGCUUGUCCUGAGCUUGUCGAAGGGAAAAACGGUAGCGGGUAACGCCCGUCGGAAGUGAUUCCAGAGGUGCGAGCAGAGACGUCCCGAGUCGAAAGAUGAGGGAAAGCAAACCCAAGGUUUUCUUAAUCAAAUUAUGGAAACCGAGCUUAUUUCCGAUCGGGGGUGAAAAGAUCGGGAGUGAAACGGCUAAAUCCUUACCGGAGUGCAAGGCCAGCGCUGUGUUCUGCGAAGCUUUAAGCGCAGCAGAAUGCUUCGAAAAGUUAGGCCGCUACAGGUUGAUAGUAAUAUCAAUCGCAGAUAAAUGAUUGUCCCGCCUCUCGGGGCGACAGAACUCGGCUUAUUGCGUGCAGGGACA
Molecule: RNase P RNA, 453 nt
Filed under: Candidatus Yanofskybacteria bacterium RIFCSPHIGHO2_01_FULL_44_110b
Lineage: Bacteria; Candidatus Yanofskyibacteriota
Also listed under: 5 other names
Description: RNase P RNA component class A
Rfam family: Bacterial RNase P class A
About the family: Ribonuclease P (RNase P) is a ubiquitous endoribonuclease, found in archaea, bacteria and eukarya as well as chloroplasts and mitochondria.
Source: RNAcentral